Molecule: small RNA, 103 nt
Filed under: Microbulbifer thermotolerans
Lineage: Bacteria; Pseudomonadati; Pseudomonadota; Gammaproteobacteria; Cellvibrionales; Microbulbiferaceae
Description: Guanidine-I sequence
Rfam family: Guanidine-I riboswitch aptamer
About the family: This family represents a conserved RNA structure found upstream of the ykkC and yxkD genes in Bacillus subtilis and related genes in other bacteria. The function of this family is unclear although it has been suggested that it may function to switch on efflux pumps and detoxification systems in response to harmful environmental molecules. Nelson showed that this riboswitch senses and responds to guanidine and it was renamed Guanidine-I riboswitch.
Source: Rfam by way of RNAcentral
AAAAUGGAGCGCUAGGGUUCCGGCUGUUUUAUAACGGUGACUGGUCCGAGAGCACUCGACCUUUCAGUGAAAGGUUACACGGCGGGAUAAAAGCCCGGGAGGA